AUACGGGGGGCGCAAGCGUUACUCGGAAUCACUGGGCGUAAAGGGAGCGUAGGCGUUCUAUUAAGUCUCGAGUGAAAUCCCGCAGCCUAACUGCGGAACUGCUCGGGAAACUGAUAGAAUAGAGUAUGGAAGAGGUAGGUGGAAUUUCCAGUGUAGGGGUAAAAUCCGUAGAUAUUGGAAGGAAUACCAGAAGCGAAGGCGACCUACUGGGACAUUACUGACGCUGAGGCUCGAAAGCGUGGGGAGC
RNAcentral lists this ribosomal RNA (247 nucleotides) under uncultured bacterium. Its description in RNAcentral is "partial 16S ribosomal RNA". It matches the Rfam family "Bacterial small subunit ribosomal RNA", at positions 523 to 769 of the family's 1533-position model. The record is from RNAcentral.